This 69-nucleotide transfer RNA is filed under the name Pseudogobius taijiangensis (Taijiang fat-nose goby). RNAcentral describes it as "tRNA-Arg". It matches the Rfam family "tRNA". Rfam says of the family: Transfer RNA (tRNA) molecules are approximately 80 nucleotides in length. Their secondary structure includes four short double-helical elements and three loops (D, anti-codon, and T loops). Lineage: Eukaryota; Metazoa; Chordata; Actinopteri; Gobiiformes; Gobiidae. The record is from RNAcentral.
AGGUAAUUAUUUUAAUCAAAAUAUUUGAUUUCGGCUCAAAAGAUCGUGGUUAAAGUCCAUAAUUACCCA